Molecule: ribosomal RNA, 436 nt
Filed under: uncultured Oscillibacter sp.
Lineage: Bacteria; Bacillati; Bacillota; Clostridia; Eubacteriales; Oscillospiraceae
Description: partial 16S ribosomal RNA
Rfam family: Bacterial small subunit ribosomal RNA
Source: RNAcentral
ACGGGAGGCAGCAGUGGGGAAUAUUGGGCAAUGGGCGCAAGCCUGACCCAGCAACGCCGCGUGAAGGAAGAAGGCUUUCGGGUUGUAAACUUCUUUUGUGAGGGACGAGAAGAAGACGGUACCUCAUGAAUAAGCCACGGCUAACUACGUGCCAGCAGCCGCGGUAAUACGUAGGUGGCAAGCGUUGUCCGGAUUUACUGGGUGUAAAGGGUGCGUAGGCGGCAUGGCAAGUCAGUCGUUAAAGACCAGAGCUUAACUCUGGACCAGCGAUUGAAACUGUCAAGCUAGAGUACAGGAGAGGUUAGUGGAAUUACUAGUGUAGAGGUGGAAUUCGUAGAUAUUAGUAAGAACACCAAUGGCGAAGGCAGCUAACUGGCCUGAAACUGACGCUGAGGCACGAAAGUGUGGGGAGCAAACAGGAUUAGAUACCCUGGUA